UACAGAGGGGGCGAGCGUUGUUCGGAAUUACUGGGCGUAAAGGGCGCGUAGGCGGCCUGCUAAGUCGGACGUGAAAUCCCUCGGCUCAACCGGGGAACUGCGUCCGAUACUGGCGGGCUUGAAUCCGGGAGAGGAAUGGGGAAUUCCAGGGUGUAGCGGUGAAAUGCGUAGAUAUCUGGAGGAACACCGGUGGCGAAGGCGGCAUUCUGGACCGGCAU
This 218-nucleotide ribosomal RNA is filed under the name uncultured bacterium. RNAcentral describes it as "partial 16S ribosomal RNA". It matches the Rfam family "Bacterial small subunit ribosomal RNA", at positions 524 to 740 of the family's 1533-position model. The record is from RNAcentral.